Long non-coding RNA from Dermacentor silvarum, 2733 nucleotides. RefSeq lists it as uncharacterized. The record is from RefSeq and is a predicted model, not a curated record. The transcript has 2 exons. NCBI's taxonomy places the organism in Eukaryota, Metazoa, Arthropoda, Arachnida, Ixodida, Ixodidae.
AUUAAACAUAUAUGAGUGUAUGAAUUCAACUCACCUUUCUAUACACAUCCAUUGCUUUCGUUGUUCGUAGAUCAUGUGCGUACCUUUGUAACCGUAAUCGACAUUGUAAAAACAGCAGUAAGGCAGAUGACACAAAUACUGUGUCCGCCUUAAUUGUUGUCUGUGCUGUUUUUAUAAUGUAAACAACUCCACACACUUGCUGUUUACACCAAAACAAUCUUGAUAUUUUUUUUUUCUUGUAGGAGGAUUUGCUUCUAACUGCGGCAGUGACGUUGUGUAUUGUCCUCAGGAACGCUUGCGGUGUGCACAUUUGUCUAAUUUGUUUCACUGUGCUGCUGCUGUCUUUACAGCUUCUGCUUAUUUCCUUUGGCCGCACCUUAUAUUUGUUGUCUUUGUCAACAUCUGACCUGUUUCUGCCUUUCUAAACCUGGUAUGUAUAUCUAUUUGCUAAGGGCAUGCUUCUGCUCCUUUAAAGGUUGCUUUAACUAAUAGUGGUUUGAGUCAUUGUGUAUGACACCAGAUAAUUAUUGUUCUAAAAUGGUGGCAAAGCUUGUCCGUGCACAGAUUUAAAGUAUGGAGAUGCUAAACAUUAAAAUGUUCCAAGUUGCCACAAAGUAUUACACGCAUUUAAAUUUGCAGUCGCAAAAGACGUACUAAAAGUAUAAUCCACAAAAUUUGCUUCGAGGUGUCUUGAGACAAUGAAUUGUAGAGAAAGAAUUCUAUUGUGAGUUGCCAAUGCUUGUCGUGAGCUCUAGCCCAUUUUUCUAUGCAGCCACUGUUGCUUCGUUGUCUGUGCUUGUUACUAACAAGAAAUUGAGCUCCGUGGUUCCCCUGAUUUUUGUAGCUCAUAAAAUGCAAAUGUCUCGACAUUGGCAGUGUUAGUGCCUCAAGGUAGAACACGAGUGUUCAUUGGCCAGUUGCCUGCUUUUAAGAUAAUGUUGUAUUUAAUGUCAGGGGUUUAAAGGAUACUUCACAUCUGCCAUCAUGGCUGUUUGUUCUGCUGUCUAGCACUUCCAGGACAAAGUUUGGUACACAUGUGAAACUAUCCAAGAAAAUGGACAUUGGGACAACUGCUGACGUAGCUCACUUGGUAGAGCAUCGCAAGCGCAAAGCAGAAAAUGUUGGUUAAACUCCAACCGGCAGCAAGUUGUCUCUUAAUGCAAAGCAUUAUCAUGAUCUAUUUUCGAAUUUCUUAGUACACCUGCCCAGGUAGCUUCAUUAAUAAUUAGUAAUGCUCCUGAUGGUGGGUAUUGAACGCGAGUCCCUAGUGCAGCAGCCCAAUUAUUUGCCCAUUAGGCUACAGAUGCAUGCAUAGCUCGCCAGAUUAACCGCACUGGUUCUCUCGUAGCAGCUAAUGCUUUCAGGUGUUAUGUGACACUCGCAGAGUUUGGGAUUCACCCGUUUCAGCUCAUAUGCAACAUAUAAAGCAGGUGUUGUGUUUGCUUUGGUGACGCGUUGUGCGUGCAAUUGCUUUUGGUUUGUAUUUGGUAUUUGUAUUUUGUUGUAUUGUGCUUUGUAUUCGAUACUGUGCCCAAAGAAAAAAACAUUUGUAAGCAGGUGCUCGAGUGACGUGAAGCUCACUCUCCCUCAUUCUCUCUUGCAGGUAGUGCAUCCAGUUUAGCGCCGUGCACAUGUGUGGGGCAUUUCCUUGUUCUUAUUGUGCUGAUGUGCCGUGUUGUACAUAGGAGGAAAGCCGGUCCUCCACAAUAUGGUUGUCAGUGUUGCUGAAUACAACACAGUCUUGCUGCCUUGACACGCCACAUCAUUUGACAUCUUGGGGUGAGGUGGCAUCUUGCUGCUCCUUGUGGUCAGGCAUAGCCAAGACUGCAGGUAGAGUCCGCACACAAAGUUCGAGGUUGAACUAUAGAACCAGCACGCCCAAUAAAUGUGUGUGCAAAUUUAGCUCUAAGCGUGCUUUAUGUCAGGAAUAAAGAUUCACAAAAGGGGCUUGGUCCAUGGCCAAGCAGAGUGAGCACGAACAACAACAACCGUCUUCUUUCACAUCCUUUGUUGGUGCCUGCCUUUGCCGCUACGUAGUAAUUAAUUAGUAAUUAGUUUGCUAAGCUAUCCAUAACUGAGAACUCGAUCGAGCAUAGAAAGAAACAUGACUAUAGGCUCCUGUGUUUCUUAUGUUUAAAUCACAAUUUGUAGGUAUCAAACACAGCAUAGCAUAAAUGAUACAUUGGGCACUGCAACCCUGUGAUGUGCACAUUGAGUGCCUUUUCGCGUCUUCUUCAGAGGGUACUAGAGAUUUCUGGUUGGGUUGCCAUAGAUGUGUUAGCUCAGUGAAUCUUCCUUCCAAGGCAUUCAGUUUGUUAAAGUUAAGCCGCUAUAGAUGUGUCCUCAUUGUUCAGGUUACUUCUGGCGACACGACAACGUUCUUGUGGCUAUGAUGUGAUGCUUCAUGACACACAUGGUGCUCAAUUCUGAAUUAUUGUUGGCAUGCUUUUUCACAAAUGGUUUUAGUAAGAUGGUAAGAAUGGUUUUAGUAGCACAGGCGACGCAAAAUGAGCCACAGCAUAUGCUUUACCUCCAGCAUGUUCGUGAUCACCGAUGGCAUGUAAAACAGUGAUUCAGACCAAGCAUCGCAAAGAAUGAUUGUUGCCUUUCUUUCUUACAGGCUGCUGUGUUUCAGCUAAAUCUGCUUUUCCUGUGUCCAGUGGCCUUGUCGCUCAAUUAGUGCUUGCCAAUUUCCAUUACACUGCAACCCACUAAAAAUAUGAAAUUUUAGAA